GACGAACGCUGGCGGCGUGCUUAACACAUGCAAGUCGAACGGAAAGGCCCUGCUUUUGUGGGGUGCUCGAGUGGCGAACGGGUGAGUAACACGUGAGUAACCUGCCCUUGACUUUGGGAUAACUUCAGGAAACUGGGGCUAAUACCGGAUAGGAGCUCCUGCUGCAUGGGGGGGGUUGGAAAGUUUCGGCGGUUGGGGAUGGACUCGCGGCUUAUCAGCUUGUUGGUGGGGUAGUGGCUUACCAAGGCUUUGACGGGUAGCCGGCCUGAGAGGGUGACCGGCCACAUUGGGACUGAGAUACGGCCCAGACUGCUACGGGAGGCAGCAGUGGGGAAUAUUGCACAAUGGGCGGAAGCCUGAUGCAGCAACGCCGCGUGCGGGAUGACGGCCUUCGGGUUGUAAACCGCUUUCGCCUGUGCCGAAGCGUGAGUGACGGUAAUGGGUAAAGAAGCACCGGCUAACUACGUG
RNAcentral lists this ribosomal RNA (468 nucleotides) under uncultured bacterium. RNAcentral describes it as "partial 16S ribosomal RNA". It matches the Rfam family "Bacterial small subunit ribosomal RNA", at positions 28 to 507 of the family's 1533-position model. The record is from RNAcentral.